Molecule: long non-coding RNA, 835 nt
Filed under: Equus caballus (horse)
Lineage: Eukaryota; Metazoa; Chordata; Mammalia; Perissodactyla; Equidae
Description: lncRNA (ENSECAG00000047588.1)
Source: RNAcentral
GGUGGUUCCAGCUACCGCCUCAGCCCCAAGCUGCUUGCCAAGAGUUACAAACUUCAUGUCACUCAGUAUCAGAGGCUGAAAGUCCAAGAUCAAGGCAUCAGCAGAUCUAAGGACCUGAGCACCUCCUAAAGGCCCCCUCCUGACACCAGCACACGGUGGGUGAGGAUUCAACAUUGGAACUGGAGAGGACGCAGAUAUUCAGUCUACAGCAUCUGUGCCGCAAAGAGCCAUCUUCCUGUCAGAUCUUGUCAGAUGAGUCCUGCAUGUUUUUAAUCUGGAAAGGUGGCUGACAAAGAGCUUCUGCUCAGAGGAGGCAAAAAAGAAGGAAGUGCUCACGGAAGGAUGGGGAUAUGCCAAAAGGGCAUAGAAGCCAACCUGCUGGAGCUCCCAAUGGCGAAAGCUGGACCGAGUUGAGCAAAAAAAACAAAUAAUGAUAGCAGUGGAUUCUAAUUCAUAGAAUAAUAUAAAUAUUCAUGGGUCCAUAUUGAUACAAAAAAUGCAAACCAGUGAGAGGAGAGAACUCAUGUGUUGUGCCUGCUACUCACUGCUGUGUCUCCCCUGGGGCCAGAACACAACAUGGUGCACAGUCGGCGGUAACUGCUCAGAGUGGAAUGAAGGAGCUGUUGGUGUCACCCAUGCACAGGUGAGGGGACGGAGCCUGGAGGGCAAGGGCCAGCCUGAGGAGGGCUGUCAGCAGUGGGCGGAGCUGUGAACUCUGCUUGCUUACUACUACCUCCCAAAGGUGAGGCCAAAAACAGCCCAACAGCCCAAAAGCAGCCAGGUCUGACACUUAACAAUCCUGUCAGAUUCUGAAGGCCUUGGCUCUCCAUUUUAG